AUCACUGUGUGUGAGACACCAUCCAAAAACUCCUAUGAACCUGUAGAAGUCUUCAAGUUCAUGUUUAAAAAGAAAGCAACGUCUCCAGAUGGUAGAUAAUCUAAGAUGUUACUCUUAGCUCUUUUACUAAUUACUGUACCACUUAAAGGAGAGUGCAACUCCUUUCUAGUGUAAGCAGAGGAAUAUGCAGAGUUGUUACAAUGAAUAUCUUGCUAUAUAUGUGGCUUGCUUCCUUUUUCAAGUACAUCAGGACUCCCUUGUCUCCUAUUUUAAGGAAACUUACACAGAUCCACAAGGGGAAUUGUACAGGCAUUGUUUCUGGAGAAUAAGAAGAGUCUGCUGGGCUUGUGGUAAAAACCUUCAUACCUGAGACUAUGAUUGAGCAAUGUGCAAAGAGGUAGAUGAAAAACAUAACCUUAGUAUAACGUCUGAAAUUUUGACACAAUG
This 447-nucleotide long non-coding RNA is filed under the name Fukomys damarensis (Damara mole-rat). RNAcentral's name for it is "lncRNA (ENSFDAG00000023667.1)". Lineage: Eukaryota; Metazoa; Chordata; Mammalia; Rodentia; Bathyergidae. The record is from RNAcentral.